This 77-nucleotide transfer RNA is filed under the name Bacteriophage sp. RNAcentral's name for it is "tRNA-Met". It matches the Rfam family "tRNA". From Rfam's summary of the family: Transfer RNA (tRNA) molecules are approximately 80 nucleotides in length. Their secondary structure includes four short double-helical elements and three loops (D, anti-codon, and T loops). Further hydrogen bonds mediate the characteristic L-shaped molecular structure. tRNAs have two regions of fundamental functional importance: the anti-codon, which is responsible for specific mRNA codon recognition, and the 3' end, to which the tRNAs corresponding amino acid is attached (by aminoacyl-tRNA synthetases). tRNAs cope with the degeneracy of the genetic code in two manners: having more than one tRNA (with a specific anti-codon) for a particular amino acid; and 'wobble' base-pairing, i.e. permitting non-standard base-pairing at the 3rd anti-codon position. The record is from RNAcentral.
CGCAGAGUGGAGCAGUCAGGUAGCUCGUCUGGUUCAUACCCAGAAGGUCGGUGGUUCGAAUCCACCCUCUGCACCCA